UCACUAUAUUUGAUAAUUCUACAAGUAAGUCAUUAUUAAUUAAUUUUUUCACUUGUGCCACAUUGGCCAAUUCAUCCAGUUAUUACUUAGCAAAUGAUAUUCUUUUCUUUUCAUGUUAUUGUUUCUAUGUGUAAGAAAAACAUCAUAUUUGAAUUGGGAGUUGGCAAAAUACAUUCUAUGGGAACCACACGUGACUUCAUAAUCAAAAUUUGUCACAUUGCAAUACCGAAAGAGGAGGAGGGGUGGGGAUGGGGGG
This 256-nucleotide unclassified non-coding RNA is filed under the name Hevea brasiliensis (rubber tree). The record is from RNAcentral. Lineage: Eukaryota; Viridiplantae; Streptophyta; Magnoliopsida; Malpighiales; Euphorbiaceae.